This 253-nucleotide ribosomal RNA is filed under the name uncultured bacterium. Its description in RNAcentral is "partial 16S ribosomal RNA". It matches the Rfam family "Bacterial small subunit ribosomal RNA", at positions 524 to 776 of the family's 1533-position model. The record is from RNAcentral.
UACGUAGGGUGCGAGCGUUGUCCGGAAUUAUUGGGCGUAAAGCGCACGUAGGCGGCUCUUUAAGUCGGGGGUGAAAUCCUGGAGCUCAACUCCAGAACUGCCUUCGAUACUGUAGAGCUUGAGUUCGGGAGAGGUGAGUGGAACUGCGAGUGUAGAGGUGAAAUUCGUAGAUAUUCGCAAGAACACCAGUAGCGAAGGCGGCUCACUGGGCCGGUACCGACACUGAGGAGCGAAAGCGUGGGGAGCAAACAGG